CCUACGGGCGGCAGCAGUGAGGAAUAUUGGUCAAUGGACGAGAGUCUGAACCAGCCAAGUAGCGUGAAGGAUGACUGCCCUAUGGGUUGUAAACUUCUUUUAUAAAGGAAUAAAACGAGGCACGUGUGCCUUUUUGCAUGGACUUUAUGAAUAAGGAUCGGCUAACUCUGUGUCAGCAGCCACGGUAAGACGGAGGAUCCGAGCGUUAUCCGGAUUUAGUGGGUUUAAAGGGAGCGUAGAUGGGUUGUUAAGUCAGAUGUGAAAGUUUGCGGCUCAACCGUAAAAUUGCAAUUGAUACUGGCAAUCUUGAGUACAGUUGAGGUAAGCGGAAUUCGUGGUGUAGCGGUGAAAUGCUUAGAUAUCACGAAGAACCCCGAUUGCGAAGGCAGCUUACUAAACUGUGACUGACAUUGAGGCUCGAAAGUGUGGGUAUCAAACAGGAUUAGAUACCCUUGUAGUC
Molecule: ribosomal RNA, 460 nt
Filed under: uncultured bacterium
Lineage: Bacteria
Description: partial 16S ribosomal RNA
Rfam family: Bacterial small subunit ribosomal RNA
Source: RNAcentral